Molecule: ribosomal RNA, 517 nt
Filed under: uncultured bacterium
Lineage: Bacteria
Description: bacterial SSU rRNA
Rfam family: Bacterial small subunit ribosomal RNA
Source: RNAcentral
GGACGAAAGUCUGACGGAGCAACGCCGCGUGAGUGAAGAAGGUUUUCGGAUCGUAAAGCUCUGUCUUCAGGGACGAAUGUGCUUAAUGUGAAUAAUGUUAAGUAAUGACGGUACCUGAGGAGGAAGCCACGGCUAACUACGUGCCAGCAGCCGCGGUAAUACGUAGGUGGCAAGCGUUGUCCGGAAUUAUUGGGCGUAAAGCGCGCGCAGGCGGGAAUGUAAGUCUGUCUUAAAAGUUCGGGGCUCAACCCCGUGAUGGGAUGGAAACUACAUUUCUUGAGUGCAGGAGAGGAAAGUGGAAUUCCUAGUGUAGCGGUGAAAUGCGUAGAUAUUAGGAGGAACACCAGUGGCGAAGGCGACUUUCUGGACUGUGUCUGACGCUGAGGCGCGAAAGCCAGGGGAGUGAACGGGAUUAGAUACCCCGGUAAUCCUGGCCGUAAACGAUGGGUACUAGGUGUAGGAGGUAUCGACCCCUUCUGUGCCGGAGUUAACGCAAUAAGUACCCCGCCUGGGGAGU